UACGGAGGGGGCUAGCGUUGUUCGGAAUUACUGGGCGUAAAGCGCACGUAGGCGGCUUUGUAAGUUAGAGGUGAAAGCCCGGGGCUCAACUCCGGAAUUGCCUUUAAGACUGCAUCGCUAGAAUUGUGGAGAGGUAAGUGGAAUUCCGAGUGUAGAGGUGAAAUUCGUAGAUAUUCGGAGGAACACCGAUGGCGAAGGCAAUCCCCUGGGCCUGCACUGACGCUCAUGCACGAAAGCGUGGGGAGCAAACAGG
RNAcentral lists this ribosomal RNA (253 nucleotides) under uncultured bacterium. RNAcentral's name for it is "partial 16S ribosomal RNA". It matches the Rfam family "Bacterial small subunit ribosomal RNA", at positions 524 to 776 of the family's 1533-position model. The record is from RNAcentral.